RNAcentral lists this transfer RNA (71 nucleotides) under Marmota monax (woodchuck). RNAcentral describes it as "tRNA.Val". Lineage: Eukaryota; Metazoa; Chordata; Mammalia; Rodentia; Sciuridae. The record is from RNAcentral.
GGGGUUGUAGCUUGGUGGUAGAUCACUCACCUCACACAUGUGAGGCACUGGGUUCGAAUCUCAGCACCACA